Molecule: ribosomal RNA, 670 nt
Filed under: uncultured marine eukaryote
Lineage: Eukaryota
Description: SSU rRNA
Rfam family: Eukaryotic small subunit ribosomal RNA
Source: RNAcentral
GGUUAAAAAGCUCGUAGUUGGAUCUCGGCGGUCUGAGGGCGGUUCGCUUGAUUGAGUGCUACUGCUCUAUAGGCCGUGGUUUUGCCAGAGGUCUCGGGGUGCUCUUAACCGAGUGUCCUGCGAUGCUGGCAGGUUUACUUUGAAAAAAUUAGAGUGCUCAAAGCAGGCUUUUACGCCUGAAUAUUCGUGCAUGGAAUAAUAGAAUAGGAAGUCGUUUCUAUUUUGUUGGUUUUCGGAAAUCGACUUAAUGAUUAAUAGGGACAGUCGGGGGCAUUUGUAUUCAAACGACAGAGGUGAAAUUCUUGGACCGUUUGAAGACAAACUACUGCGAAAGCAUUUGCCAAGAAUGUUUUCAUUAAUCAAGAACGAAAGUUAGAGGUUCGAAGGCGAUUAGAUACCGCCCUAGUUCUAACCAUAAACGAUGCCAGCUAGCGAUCUGCCGACGUUUUCUUUGUAGACUCGGCAGGAAGCUUCCGGGAAACCAAAGCAUUUGGGUUCCAGGGGAAGUAUGGUUGCAAAAGCUGAAACUUAAAGGAAUUGACGGAAGGGCACCACCAGGAGUGGAGCCUGUGGCUUAAUUUGACUCAACACGGGAAAUCUCACCAGGCCCGGACACUGGAAGGAUUGACAGAUUGAUAGCUCUUUCUUGAUUCGGUGGGUGGUGGUGCAU